GCGAAAGCAUUCAUCAAUUCCAUACCUUUUAAUCAAGAACGAAAGUUGGGGGAUCGAAAGUGAUUAGAUACCACUGUAGUCUCAACCAUAAACGAUGUCAACUAUGGAUUCGCUUUGAUCAUAUUAUUAUAUACUUGUAUAUUUUAUUUCGACAAAGGGAGAACAUUGUGAGAAAUCAAAGUUUUUAGACUCUGGGGAGAGUAUGAGUGGCAAUACUGAAAUUUAAAGGAAUUGACGGAAGUGGUACCACCAGGAGUGGAGCUUGCGGCUUAAUUUGACUCAACGCGGGAAACUUUACCAGUGCCGAACAUUGUGAGGAUAGACAGAUUGCAGUUCUUUCUUGAUUCUGUGCUUUUACGUAGUGCAUGGCCUUUGGGAAGUGAGUGGAUUG
This 391-nucleotide ribosomal RNA is filed under the name uncultured Cercozoa. Its description in RNAcentral is "bacterial SSU rRNA". It matches the Rfam family "Eukaryotic small subunit ribosomal RNA", at positions 945 to 1308 of the family's 1831-position model. Lineage: Eukaryota; Cercozoa. The record is from RNAcentral.